This 555-nucleotide ribosomal RNA is filed under the name Triticum aestivum (bread wheat). RNAcentral describes it as "partial small subunit ribosomal RNA". The record is from RNAcentral. Lineage: Eukaryota; Viridiplantae; Streptophyta; Magnoliopsida; Poales; Poaceae.
AUGGCCGAAUGCUUCAAUAGGGUGCUCAAAGGUGCACGUGGAUUACCUGUGACGGCAAUAGUUCAAUACACAUUUGACAAGAUGAAUGCGUACUUUGUAAAGUACUCGAUGGAAACCGAUGCACAGAUAGCGGGUGAGAAUCCAUGGAAGUACAAGUACAAGUUCCCACCCAAAGUUGAUGAAUGGUUGGUAUUUCAAUCACGGAAGGCGGACUCAGAAGAAGCUAUAUUAUAUGACAACGAAGAGUGGAAGUACGAAGUGAAAGAGCCAGGAGGAACCACAAACGAUGGCCGGCAACAUGGAGGUUGGGCUUUCAAGGUGUCGUUAACACAAUGUGAUUGCACUUGCGGGAGGCCAUUGUUGCUUCAUCUCCCAUGCUCACACUUGUAUACCGCCGGUCGCGUUAGGAAUGUGGACAUCAAUCACCCACGCACCGUGAGGGAGUCGGAGUUCUCAAUCAUGACGGUCAAGAAAACAUGGGCUCCCCGCUUUCACCCAUACUUUGACCAAUCACAAUGGCCGGAGUAUCAUGGAGUUCAACUAUGGCUGGAUCCG